CAGCAGCCGCGGGAACACGGAGGGCGCGAGCGUUACCCGGAUUUACUGGGCGUAAAGGGCGUGUAGGCGGCCUGGGGCGUCCCAUGUGAAAGGCCACGGCUCAACCGUGGAGGAGCGUGGGAUACGCUCAGGCUAGAGGGUGGGAGAGGGUGGUGGAAUUCCCGGAGUAGCGGUGAAAUGCGCAGAUACCGGGAGGAACGCCGAUGGCGAAGGCAGCCACCUGGUCCACUUCUGACGCUGAGGCGCGAAAGCGUGGGGAGCAAACCGGAUUAGAUACCCCGGUAGUCCCUGUCUCUUAUAA
This 301-nucleotide ribosomal RNA is filed under the name uncultured bacterium. RNAcentral describes it as "partial 16S ribosomal RNA". It matches the Rfam family "Bacterial small subunit ribosomal RNA", at positions 509 to 809 of the family's 1533-position model. The record is from RNAcentral.